Molecule: ribosomal RNA, 253 nt
Filed under: uncultured bacterium
Lineage: Bacteria
Description: partial 16S ribosomal RNA
Rfam family: Bacterial small subunit ribosomal RNA
Source: RNAcentral
GACGGAGGAGGCAAGCAUUGUCCGGAAUUAUUGGGCGUAAAGAACACGUAGGCGGUUUUUCAAGUCAAUUGUGAAAACCUCGGGCUUAACUUGAGGAUUGCACUUGAUACUGGAUAACUAGAGUACAGUAGAGGAAAGUGGAAUUCCUGGUGUAGCGGUGAAAUGCGCAGAUAUCAGGAAGAACACCAGUGGCGAAAGCGGCUUUCUGGACUGUUACUGACGCUGAGGUGUGAAAGCUAGGGGAGCGAACAGG